Molecule: long non-coding RNA, 2157 nt
Organism: Equus asinus (donkey)
Lineage: Eukaryota; Metazoa; Chordata; Mammalia; Perissodactyla; Equidae
Source: Ensembl
CCUGAGGGGGCGUUGCGCGCACCCGGCGGGGCCUGUUUUAGGAAAAGGGCGGCGUCUCUGAGCCCCUGGUGUGGGAGGACUUGAGGGCGGCCCCAGUCUCUGAGAAGGGCCUGGAAGACCGCCCGUCCUGCCUGGAGGGGCCUUCGGUAUGAGAAGGGCGGGGGGCGAAGGAGCGAGGUGCCCUGGGAGGGAAGGCUCCCACCCUGAGCCCGACGGAAGCUCCUCUCGCGCCUCGCAGCACGGCCAGGAUUUGAAGAGGCCAUUUCCCCCGCGGACGCUGGAGGUCCGCCACGUGCCGGGCUCUUGGCGCUGGGGUGCCGCGAUGGCGCAGACAGACACCCUGCCCUCCCUUCAGGGCUUGUAUUGUUGCGGGAAGACAGGCAGUAAACAAGUCAACAAAUGAUACACAGGACUGGUGGAGUUAGUGUCGUUCCCAUUUGCCAUGAGGCAAACGGAAUAGAAUUAUGGUGGGAGUCGCUCAUGUAGUUUGGGCCGUCAGACGAGACCUCCAAGGCGGGACUGGCGUAAUGGUGACAUGCAAGCUCCUUCUCUCAGCCUGUUGCUGUGAAGGAGUGCCUGUCGGUUGACUCAAAGUCAAACAAAUUCCUGUUAUCUCUGUUACAAAAUUUGGCAGCAAAAAAAUUGAUGGCUGACUUUGUCUAAUGUCUCAUGAAGUUUUGGAAGGUACUCUAAACCUAAAUAAUUAUUGGGAACAAGUAAACAAAAUAGAUGUAAGUAAAAUAAAAAGGGUUUUAGGUGAACUUUUUAACAAUAAUUGUGUGUUAUGGUGUAUGUACUUAAAAAUAGCUUCCAAAAUCUUUUUGGUAAUUUGAAACCCUAGAGUUUUGCUAAGUUAAAUGAUGGGAAUUCAGCGAAGGUCUAGAUCGUCUCCAAAUAAGACAAAAUACUAAAACGUUAAUUGCUGAAUAAGUCUAAGUUUACCUACUUUUGACCUCUUAUUACAGGGAAAAUGAAGUUAAAUUUGGGUCUGUUAGUAAACAUGUCUUGUGCUUUAUUGAAAAGAUUGUACUAUGAAGAAGCAUAUGUUUCUAGAAAUUAUUAAAUGAAUUCAUAAAUUUGCCAAUCUAAAGAAUGCCGGUACGGCAGACAGUUCACAAUUGCUAACGUCUUAAUUUUUACUAGAAAUUAAGGUUUCUGAGGGUUAAAAAAUUCUAAUUAAUAUAUGUAAUUAAAACUACUAAAAUAAUAAGGGAAAUAUCUUAGUAUAAAAUGUGUAGUUAGUAAAAAAGAGAGAGAAAAAUAUUGUUUCAGUAGAAAUUAUAAUACACUCUUGUGGAUAUUAGAUUCUAGCUCUCCUAAUUGUCUUUGAGGUUUUGUUUUCCACCUGUAAACUGGACUGGAUCCUGAAUUCUUCUAGUUUCCUCCAAUACCUGGCUACAACCCUCCAAACUAACAUGAUCUGAUUUUCUCCUCCCUUUUGACUUGGAAUCACUGACAACUAAAACUGCCGUUUUUCCUGAAGCCCUGCAAAUUAAAGCUGAACAACUUGAUAUGAAUCACAGAGAAAUCACCGCAAUGGCUUAGAAAUGCCUCUUAUUAAAUACUUGAUUGCUUGCACCACAGACCUAACUUUGGGAGCCCACGUGCAUCACUGCCUCCUGAAAUUGGACACGCUGCUUAAUUGCACAGACCUAUUCUCCGACCCAAGAGACUGGCUCAGUGAGAUGGAGCACUCCACCAACCCAACUUCUGGACUGGAAACUCCUCAUGAAGCUCAAAUGCGGAACUGAAGGGCUUCCGAAGAGGCCUCCGCAAGACGUGCCGCUUUGACAUCUGGAAUAUUUUGAGCUGAAGUCAAUCAAGACCCUGCAGGCUCAGGAAACUUUAAGGCUUAUUACCAGAAACCAGUUCUUACGAUCCAUCUGUAUGGCAGGGCAAACCUCUAAUUUGAGAACAUCUGCUCUUCUAAUCAUCCCAUAAAUACCCUCCUCCCCCUUGAAGCCCCAGGUCCCUGUCCCAUUGGCUCAAGAUGACAUAAGUACCUCGCUUUACCUUUCUGUCUCUGAACUUCUCAUGUAUGUGGAGUUCCCAUGUGUACAAAGUUAAUUAAAUCUGAUUUUCUCCUAUUAAUCUGUCAAUUUAAUUCUUAGAACAGCCAGAAGAACCUAGAAGAGUAAAGGAAAAUUUCUUCAUCCC